RNAcentral lists this long non-coding RNA (1051 nucleotides) under Pan troglodytes (chimpanzee). RNAcentral describes it as "long non-coding RNA NONPTRT002514". Lineage: Eukaryota; Metazoa; Chordata; Mammalia; Primates; Hominidae. The record is from RNAcentral.
CUAACUCCCUCUCUGGAUAUGUGGAACAAGGAGGACCUUAAACUUAACAAUAGAGCCAGUGAUGGUUCUACCAGUCUCCCCAAAGCCUCAAGUUUAAAAGCCAUAUGAACUGGCUGAUAGUGGAAAAUGGAAGCCAUGACGAAAUCAGAUUAGAGUACUACCUGGUGAAGCCUUGAGGACCUACCAAGAAAAGCAAACUUGGAUCUUUGCAAGGUUAGAAGAACGAAUGGGAUCCAAGAAAAAGACUGGUCAUAUUCAACGGCUAAGAGCGUUGGAGAAGGCCUGUGGAGUCUCAGCAGGUCAGGUCCAUGACUCAUGAGUAGACACCUGUGUUUCUACUGCCUGGUGCCAUAAUCAUAAACAAGGAAGAAACUGAGGACAGGAGGGGCCAAACAAGUUACAGUUUCAUCCCUCCAGAGAGCCAACAGAGUAUUUUGCACGAAGUUGAAGCUAAACAGGUAUUAUGUCCUGUCUCUGGACUGAAUGACUAGAUGCUACUCAGCUUCUGAACUAGAGGAAGCCUGGGACCUUGACCGCACUAAUGCUGAUGACAGCGGAUUUGCAGGUGGCUAGAGGUACCAGAUUUAGCAAAUAAAAAUAUAGGAUGUCAAGUUAAAUUUAAGUGUAAGAUAAGCUACGAAUACCUUUUCUAGUAUUAGUACGUCCCAUGCAAUAUACUAGAAAUGUUAUUCGUUAUUUAUGUUAAAUUUAAUUUUAUUAGGGCAUCCUAUAUUUUACCUGUCAAUCCAACCCAUGACCUAAGCAGACACUGUAGAAAAACAAAAGGAGAAUUAAGGAGAUAAAUGAAACACAGGGUGAGCUGAAAAGAGGUGCUCUGUGAAUUUGAGGGUCCAGUAGGAGCUGACUUGUAGGUACUUGGUCUGUUUUGAUGCCCACAACAACCUUGGGGAAGGGGCGGAAUAGCAGAGGGGUAAGCUCUCUGCCCCCCACCAAGGUUCUGCAGGACACCAGGGCUUUUAUCAGCACCCCUAUGUUCACAUCCUGGCUGUACCCUCCUUGGUUGUAUAUACUCUGGAUAAUUCACUUAAUU